This 1414-nucleotide ribosomal RNA is filed under the name uncultured bacterium. RNAcentral's name for it is "partial 16S ribosomal RNA". It matches the Rfam family "Bacterial small subunit ribosomal RNA", at positions 80 to 1401 of the family's 1533-position model. The record is from RNAcentral.
UCUGACUGUAUGUUACUGCUAUCAUGACUGACUAGCUAGUCUGCGCGCUGGUACGUGGGGAUAACUACUCGAAAGAUGUACGCUAAUACCGCAUGAGAUCUACGGAUGAAAGCAGGGGACCUUCGGGCCUUGUGCUACCAGAGCGGCUGAUGGCAGAUUAGGUAGUUGGUGGGGUAAAGGCUUACCAAGCCUGCGAUCUGUAGCUGGUCUGAGAGGACGACCAGCCACACUGGGACUGAGACACGGCCCAGACUCCUACGGGAGGCAGCAGUGGGGAAUUUUGGACAAUGGGCGAAACCCUGAUCCAGCAAUGCCGCGUGUGUGAAGAAGGCCUUCGGGUUGUAAAGCACUUUUAUCCGGAACGAAACGUGCGGGUGAUAGCCUCGUAACUGACGGACCGGAGGAUAGCCCGGCUACUCUGCAGAGCGCGGAAACAAGGUGAAGCGUACUCGAUUCUGGCGAAGGGCUGUGUUUUAAUUGUGGAUCCGGUACUGAAGGAUGAAUGAAGUGAGGGAAGGAUGAUCGGGUCGGAUGUAGUGGGACCUGGAGGGUCGCCAUACGGACACGGGGACGCGCGUUCUCGGAUUACUGGGCGUAAAGGGUGCGUAGGUGGUUUUUUAGUCUGCUGUGAAUCCCCGGGCUCAACCUGGGAAUGGCAGUGGAUACUGGAAAGCUGGCGUGCGGUAGAGGGUAGUGGAAUUCCCGGUGUAGCAGUGAAAUGCGUAGAGAUCGGGAGGAACACCAGUGGCGAAGGCGGCUACCUGGACCAGCACUGACACUGAGGCACGAAAGCGUGGGGAGCAAACAGGAUUAGAUACCCUGGUAGUCCACGCCCUAAACGAUGCGAACUGGAUGUUGGGUGCAACUUGGCACUCAGUAUCGAAGCUAACGCGUUAAGUUCGCCGCCUGGGGAGUACGGUCGCAAGACUGAAACUCAAAGGAAUUGACGGGGGCCCGCACAAGCGGUGGAGUAUGUGGUUUAUUCGACGCAACGCGAAAACCUUACAGGCCUUGACAUCCCGUGCAAGGUAUAGAGAUAUACCGGAGGUACAAGGUGACAGGUGUGCAUGUUGUCGUCAGCUCGUGUCGUGAGAUGUGGGUAAGUCCCGCACGAGCGCACCCUUGUCUCAGUUACCAAUAUCAAGUUAGGGACUCUGGAGAGACUGCCGGUGAUAAACCGGAGGAAGGUGGGGAUGACGUCAAGUCCUCAUGCCCUUACGGGCUGGGCUACACACGUACUACAAUGGCGAAUACAAAGGGAAGCAAGCGUGCGAACGCAAGCGGAUCCUAUAAAAUUCGUCUCAGUUCAGAUUGCACUCUGCAACUCGAGUGCAUGAAGUGGAAUCGCUAGUAAUCGCGAAUCAGCAGGUCGCGGUGAAUACGUUCCCGGGCCUUGUACACACCGCCCGUCACA